Molecule: long non-coding RNA, 2672 nt
Organism: Ctenopharyngodon idella (grass carp)
Lineage: Eukaryota; Metazoa; Chordata; Actinopteri; Cypriniformes; Xenocyprididae
Exons: 4
Source: RefSeq, a predicted model, not a curated record
AUUUAUCUUCACAUCACAGAUGGAGCUUCUUCCUGCUGUUAUUUGUGAGCUAGUGUGAGCUGUUAUCAGACUUUGAACAGAUAAACUGUUCUUCUGCAUUCUGAGAGUGCCGUUAUUUGUUGUCGGUACGAAUUGAUGAGAUGAGGCUGGAAUAAUCGCUUGCACGGAGCACAAACAACGAUCUGGCACAAGACGGCACACGAGAGGGGACUAAAAUAGGAGAGUAAAGGAUUAAUUGAUACUGAACAGGUGAAGGGAGUGAAACAUUAAUGAGGUAAGGAAUGGAAUAACACGGGGUGGGAUAAGAUGCCACGAUUACAGCGGAGAACAUGGUGUACUGUCAAUCCGAACCCAUGUGCUCCAAACAAACACAAGACAGAGACAAGGAAAAAUGGACAGAUCAGCCCAGGGACAUGACAGGACCAGGCCAAGGCUUCUUCACUCCUCCUCUAGAUGCUACGACACCGGCGGACGAAGGCUAUGGCAGAUGGAACAGCGGCAUCAAGCUCCUGAGAGAUGAAUGAAGGAGGUUGAAACGCAAUGGAACAUUGGAAUAGGGGUAUACCUGUGGCAGCCACCAUACAAGAUGUUGUGGGUGUAUUCAAUCAAGGAUAACUGUUGACUCCAAGAGCUUGGAUUCUGGAACGUCAGGCAGCGGAGAGCUUGUUCCAGAUCCUGAUUUGCCUGCUCGGACUGCCCAUUGGGAGAUGGUCCUCACUGCAGAACACGGAAUCCAGGGGGCGAUGUUGGAUCCAGAUCCAACUCCUCCAACUUUACAUAUUCCUAAAUCUACCCGUCUCCACCUCCUGGAUCUGGAUCCUGGAUCUCAUGUUCUGCAGUGAGGGGUUACUGCCUAUUGGUCUGAGGGGGGUGAAAACCUGAUGACAGACUCCUUCCAGAAACGGGGAAUGAACGGUGGCCCCUAUCGAAGACCACAUCUACUGGAAGACUAUGAAUCCGGAAGAUGUGAUCAACCACCACUUGAGCAGUCUCCUUGGCUGAGGGUAAUAUGGGACGGGGAAUGAAAUGGGCUGUCUUUGAAGAAGCGGUCCACCACCGUCAGUACCACAGUGUUACCUCGAUGGAGGAAUGCCAGAUGGCGGCCAGUAGGGGUGUGACGAGACAACUCACGAAACAAGACGAGACACGAGAUUGAGUUCACGAGUCGAGAUGAGAUUUUUAGACAGUGUUUUUAAGAAAUCCUCAAUGACAAAAUACAUGACUAGAAAAAUAGUCUGCAUGUGCAUUUGAAAUGUUGUAACUUGCAUGCAUCAGUGAGCCGCUUUCAAAAUGCGAGGUAUUGAAACUCGCGUUUUACUUUCGAUUUCGCGAUUGCGCAUACUCUGUGAAAAGGGAGCGGUGGUGCUGAGCCCGCAUUCUACAAGAUCAGACAUUUGUCAGACGCUUAGGCUCUGUUGUGCAAUGAAUCCUCCGCCAUGGUCUUGUCAGUCAUCUCGUCACUUACCCUCGUCACGUGAUUAGUGAAUCUAGUGAGUCCUGUUGCACUAUGUCCGACUCUUGUCGGAUGAGCUGGAUGGAAUUGAAGCAACCGUUAUCCAACUGAAUUAAAUGUUUUUUAUUUCUAUAAAAAGCAAAAUGACAGUGGAGGCGUAAUGUAAAAGUAGCGGUGGCAUAUUCUGUCCUAAAUUCACCCUCACACUCCGACAUGGCACUAUCGCGAGACAGCUUUUUACCUUGACGUGAAAUCUUGUCACAUUUUAAUCUUGCGAGAUCUCGUGGCAUGAGAUCUCGUCACAUCCCUAGCGGCCAGUGAUCUCAGAAUAUCUUGAAUAUCCAGUCGGCACAAAUAACCUAGCCUCCGGACACCCCCUCGGAACUUCUCUCUCUCGUAUGGCCUCCUCUACUCAUCUCUGGACACCCUAGGAGAGGGACUCUACCACCGUCUCCCUGGGGACGAUAGUAUCGCGAUAGUAUACCCACCCUCCCCCAGAAAUCCCAAACAGAUGGGAGGUGGCAUCGGGUUUAAACAUUUCUAGAGCCUGGAUGAGAGAGUGAAGUUGAACUGGCCGAAAAACAGUGCCCAUCGGGCAAGGCGUGAGCUCAACCUCUUGGCUGAACUUAUUUUUAAUAGUAAUGUCAUUCAAACCUCUAUAAUCAAUACAAGGAUGCAAGGAGCCAGGGGUGGAGGAAACCAGAAUCUAGAGAUUCUCAAAUAUACUUGUCCAUAGGCUCUCUUUCUGGAUCAGACAGGGAAUAUAGGCAACCCUUAGGCGGAGAAGCUCCUGGGAGGAGAUUGAUGGCACAAUCAUAAGGCCGGUUAGGUGGCAAGGACAUGGCUCGGGACUUGCUGAAGACCUGCCAAAGAUUGUGGGAAACACAGAGCCAGGAAAAGAGGCAGCACCCAAUCGAGACGCAAGACAGGACUGGUUCCAUGACCACAGAAUUCCCGGCCCAAUCCACAUGAGGACCUUGUGGCACCAGCCAGGGGUGCCCCAGGACCACUGGAGCACUCGGGGAAUCCAGAAGAAAAAAAACUUUUCAACAUGGUACAAUAGAAAUACCAUGCUUUUACAUCAUAACAUUUACCAUGUUGGGACAAUGCAAUUCUUUGAAGUACCCUGGAGUACCAUGAAAAUACCAUGGCUGCUAAAUAACCUGGCCUGAUGUUGCACAUAUGGAUGAACGCAGACACCAGCUAGAGGACGACAUAA